RNAcentral lists this ribosomal RNA (229 nucleotides) under uncultured bacterium. Its description in RNAcentral is "partial 16S ribosomal RNA". It matches the Rfam family "Bacterial small subunit ribosomal RNA", at positions 568 to 796 of the family's 1533-position model. The record is from RNAcentral.
UCCGUAGGCGGGCAAUUAAGUCAGAGGUGAAAUCCCACAGCUCAACUGUGGAACUGCCUUUGAUACUGGUUGUCUUGAGUUACAGUGAAGUAGAUAGAAUAUGUAGUGUAGCGGUGAAAUGCAUAGAUAUUACAUAGAAUACCGAUUGCGAAGGCAGUCUACUAACUGUAUACUGACGCUAAUGGACGAAAGCGUGGGGAGCGAACAGGAUUAGAUACCCUGUUAGUCC